UGAGAGAAAGCAAAUAUAUUGCGUUUUAUUUCCAAUAAAAAGUAGAGUAAUUUCUCUCUCAA
RNAcentral lists this transfer RNA (62 nucleotides) under Pleurocryptella fimbriata. Its description in RNAcentral is "partial tRNA-Gly". Lineage: Eukaryota; Metazoa; Arthropoda; Malacostraca; Isopoda; Bopyridae. The record is from RNAcentral.